Molecule: long non-coding RNA, 542 nt
Filed under: Lathyrus oleraceus (garden pea)
Lineage: Eukaryota; Viridiplantae; Streptophyta; Magnoliopsida; Fabales; Fabaceae
Description: Pisum sativum (pea) long non-coding RNA (PSAT_LNC030568)
Source: RNAcentral
AGAAAAAUAAAAUGGCAGAAAAUAAAUGGCAGAAAAUAAAACCCUAAUUAUUACAACGCUUUGGUGCAGUUACAUAAUAAAGAUGGCGAAAAGUAAAACUGAAAAUAUUACAAGUUAAAACUUAAAAUAUUACAAGGGCGAAGCAGUUACAGUGUAUGAAUAACAUAAAUAUGAGCGAAAAUAGGAAAUAAUAAUAAGGUUUGUUAAGGUUUAAGAAAAGGUUUAUGGUUUAGAGGAAACAACACGGUUAAAGUUUUAGGUUUGAAAUUUAGAGUUUGUGGCGAAAUUGUCAGGGUUUAGGAAAAAUCAGGGUAGUUAGUUAUGAAAAAAAUGUGCAGAUCUAAAUAUAUGUAUAUAAAAAAAAAUAUGAAUUAAAAAAAAACAACGGCGUUGCUAGCGCAAAAUUGCGAUCAUCGCAACUGGAUCGGAUAACACAAAUGUCACGCCUCAUACACGUAUAUGUGAAAACGGCGUAUUGACACGAUCCGAUCCGAAAACAUAAUCAAAUUAUAACAUAAAAUAGAAAUAUAUAUAUAUUUAAC